AGUGAACGCUGGCGGUAGGCCUAACACAUGCAAGUCGAACGGCAGCACAGUAAGAGCUUGCUCUUACGGGUGGCGAGUGGCGGACGGGUGAGGAAUACAUCGUAAUCUACUUUUUCGUGGGGGAUAACGUAGGGAAACUUACUCUAAUACCGCAUACGACCUACGGUUGAAAGCAGUGGAUCUUCGGACCUUGCGCGAUUGAAUGAGCCGAUGUCGGAUUAGCUAGUUGGCGGGGUAAAGGCCCACCAAGUCGACGAUACGUGGCUGGUCUGAGAGGAUGGUAGGCCACCUGGGAACUUAGACACGGCCCAGGCUCCUAAGGGAGGCAGCAGUGGCGUAUGUUGGACAAUAGGGGGAAGCAUUGUACAACCAUCCCGAGUGGGAGGAAGAGGCCUUCCGGUUGGAAAGACCUUUUGUUGGGAAAAAAAAGCUGUCGGUUAAUACCCAGCUGUUGUGACGGUAACCAAAAAAUAAGCACCGGCUAACUUCGUG
RNAcentral lists this ribosomal RNA (492 nucleotides) under uncultured bacterium. RNAcentral describes it as "partial 16S ribosomal RNA". It matches the Rfam family "Bacterial small subunit ribosomal RNA", at positions 29 to 507 of the family's 1533-position model. The record is from RNAcentral.